RNAcentral lists this long non-coding RNA (685 nucleotides) under Fukomys damarensis (Damara mole-rat). Its description in RNAcentral is "lncRNA (ENSFDAG00000031293.1)". Lineage: Eukaryota; Metazoa; Chordata; Mammalia; Rodentia; Bathyergidae. The record is from RNAcentral.
AUGCAAACUUGGCCUGGGGGGGCAAGAAUGAGUGAAGCAGUAGGCAAACUGAAGGCGGCCUCUGCUCCGUGUUGCUGCGGCCCUUGGGUGCUCUUACCUCACCCCCUUGCUAGAACCUCCCUGCUCAGCUGGCACGUGGAAGCGGGAGCCCAGAUCCAGCAGGCGAGACCUUGUGACUUCAGAGGCAGCUCAAAAGACCAAACACUGAGGGCAGUUGGAAAUUUUGUUGCUUACUGUGGUACAGCAAGCCUUCCCCUUAGUUCACAAGUGAGUCUUCUGAGAACUGCUCACAAAGAAGUGAACACUGACGCAAGACAGACGGAAAGAAGCAGCGCGCCCCUGGGAAAGGAGGACUUUGAGUAUAACAGUCUGACUUUAUCAUCACCUGUAGCACAAGCAGCAAAGCAUGCUGGACAUCUGGCAAGGUUUCUCAUUUGCAACCAUGGCUUGAGCAACUUAAGAGGCAGGCUGUAAUCCACUCACCAUAUGCACCUUCGGAAGGACCAUGUUUCCUGCAUUAUCUUUCCACUUGGGUUUAUCCUGUUUCUCAAACGCUCCCAAUUUACAUUAUUGCAUUGCCCUUUCCUGGUCCCUGUAAACACUUUUAGAAGGCAGAGUCAUCAUGAGUAUUUUUUAAAACUUAAAGCAAAAAAUUCUGAUUCUUGUCUGACAGCUUCUCUUUCUU